This 427-nucleotide long non-coding RNA is filed under the name Capsicum annuum. Its description in RNAcentral is "long non-coding RNA (CANN_LNC004356)". Lineage: Eukaryota; Viridiplantae; Streptophyta; Magnoliopsida; Solanales; Solanaceae. The record is from RNAcentral.
GGGUACAGUGAGGGGAAUUGUUUCCUUAAGGAAACUUUGUGAAUUCGGACAACUUGGCCUUAUUCAUUUCUGUUUCAUCUAUUUUUGAAAAAAAUAAAAUACACCUCUUGGAAAGGUCAUUUUGAUCUUGUGUUGAGGGUAUUUGAUAUAGUUCAUUGUGUUCUUGUUUAUACUUGAACUCUAGUUGAAGUUGUAGUUCUGCAUAUACAGAUUCUGCGUACCUGUAGAAGGAAAUAACAAGUAUAUCAGACAUAAACGUCAACCUAAUACAAUUUACAAGAAGAUAUGGGUGAUAGGGUUACCUUUUAAAAUGGCCUUUUUCAUGUGGAGACUACGAAAAUUUAAGAUCCCAGUGGAUGAAAGAGUGAGGAAUAGUAAAAUGAGGGACCAUCGGGGUUCUGGUUCUGUGAGUGACCCGAUCAAGAAG